RNAcentral lists this unclassified non-coding RNA (21 nucleotides) under Mus musculus (house mouse). RNAcentral describes it as "oocyte_clustered_small_RNA12538". Lineage: Eukaryota; Metazoa; Chordata; Mammalia; Rodentia; Muridae. The record is from RNAcentral.
UGUGAUCCAACCAAUAGCCGA